ACGGGUGAGUAAUGUCUGGGAAACUGCCUGAUGAGGGGGAUAACUACUGGAAACGGUAGCUAAUACCGCAUAACGUCGCAAGACCAAAGAGGGGGACCUUCGGGCCUCUUGCCAUCGGAUGUGCCCAGAUGGGAUUAGCUAGUAGGUGGGGUAACGGCUCACCUAGGCGACGAUCCCUAGCUGGUCUGAGAGGAUGACCAGCCACACUGGAACUGAGACACGGUCCAGACUCCUACGGGAGGCAGCAUG
This 249-nucleotide ribosomal RNA is filed under the name uncultured bacterium. RNAcentral describes it as "partial 16S ribosomal RNA". It matches the Rfam family "Bacterial small subunit ribosomal RNA", at positions 102 to 353 of the family's 1533-position model. The record is from RNAcentral.